GACGUCAUUGCGCUCGGCAGUCUGGGAGAGGAAGCGCUGCGUUGGUGGGAGAAGAGAGGACCGAGGAGCGGGAAGAUCGAGGAGCAGCGGCAGCCCCAGCGACGGUGCGUCCUGUACAGCAUGUGCCCACCCAUCCACCAACAAGCACCAGCAGGUCUGCAGUCUGCCUGCCUGAGCCCCUGGCCCCGAGGAGGCAACCUGUCAGUCCAGGAUCCCGGCAGCAGCACAGCACAUGGCCAGCAUGAGCACUUCAGGGAGAGUGCUGCCCCCCAGCCAGCGCACAGCAGGGAGGAGUCCUAGGAGCAGCAGCACGGCGUUGAGCGAUGUCGCUUGGUACUAUAAGCGGCUGGCCGCCCACAAGCACCCGGUCUGCAGCCUGCCUGCCUGAGCCCCUGGUACUAAGGAGGAGUCCAGCCACCCAUGCAGCCCGGGAUCCCAGCAGCAGCACAGCACAGCACACAGCCAGCAUCAGCACUGCAGGGAGAGUGCCGCCCCCCUGGCCAGGCGCACAGCAGGGAGGAGUCCUAGGAGCAGCAGCACGGCGUUGAGCGAUGUCGAGUGAUAUUGUAUGCGGCUGGCCGCCCACAAGCACCCGGUCUGCAGCCUGCCUGCCUACCUGAGCCCCUGGUACUGAGGAGGAGUACAGCCACCCAUGCAGCCCGGGAUCCUAGCAGCAGCACAGCACACAGCCAGCAUCAGCACUGCAGGGAGAGUGCUGCCCCCCUGUCCAGGGUGAGUGCGGAUGUAUACAUG
Molecule: long non-coding RNA, 753 nt
Organism: Pseudophryne corroboree (corroboree frog)
Lineage: Eukaryota; Metazoa; Chordata; Amphibia; Anura; Myobatrachidae
Exons: 3
Source: RefSeq, a predicted model, not a curated record